GGGGGCCGUUUCGGAUUAUUAGGCGUAAGAGCUCGUAGGCGGUUUGUCGCGUCUGCCGUGAAAGUCCGGGGCUCAACUCCGGAUCUGCGGUGGGUACGGGCAGACUAGAGUGAUGUAGGGGAGACUGGAAUUCCUGGUGUAGCGGUGAAAUGCGCAGAUAUCAGGAGGAACACCGAUGGCGAAGGCAGGUCUCUGGGCAUUAACUGACGCUGAGGAGCGAAAGCAUGGGGAGCGAACAGGAUUAGAUACCCUGGUAGUCCAUGCCGUAAACGUUGGGCACUAGGUGUGGGGGACAUUCCACGUUUUCCGCGCCGUAGCUAACGCAUUAAGUGCCCCGCCUGGGGAGUACGGCCGCAAGGCUAAAACUCAAAGGAAUUGACGGGGGCCCGCACAAGCGGCGGAGCAUGCGGAUUAAUUCGAUGCAACGCGAAGAACCUUACCAAGGCUUGACAUGAACCGGUAAGACCUGGAAACAGGUCCCCCACUUGUGGCCGGUUUACAGGUGGUGCAUGGUUGUCGUCAGCUCGUGUCGUGAGAUGUUGGGUUAAGUCCCGCAACGAGCGCAACCCUCGUUCCAUGUUGCCAGCGCGUUAUGGCGGGGACUCAUGGGAGACUGCCGGGGUCAACUCGGAGGAAGGUGGGGACGACGUCAAAUCACCAUGCCCCUUAUGUCUUGGGCUUCACGCAUGCUACAAUGGCCGGUACAAGGGGUUGCGAUACUGUGAGGUGGAGCUAAUCCCAAAAAGCCGGUCUCAGUUCGGAUUGGGGUCUGCAACUCGACCCCAUGAAGUCGGAGUCGCUAGUAAUCGCAGAUCAGCAACGCUGCGGUGAAUACGUUCCCGGGCCUUGUACACACCGCCCGUCAAGUCACGAAAGUUGGUAACACCCGAAGCCGGUGGCCUAACCCCUUGUGGGAGGGAGCUGUCGAAGGUGGGACUGGCGAUUGGACUAAGUCGUAACAAGGUAAC
This 968-nucleotide ribosomal RNA is filed under the name uncultured bacterium. Its description in RNAcentral is "bacterial SSU rRNA". It matches the Rfam family "Bacterial small subunit ribosomal RNA", at positions 536 to 1500 of the family's 1533-position model. The record is from RNAcentral.